AACCCAUGGUGAGGGCACCUUCUCAAAAAGUCCUCGUAUCUCUCCCACGCUUCAGAGAGUGUUUCUAAAUCCAUCUGCACAAAAGAAGAGAUAUCAUUACGUAAUUU
Molecule: small nucleolar RNA, 107 nt
Filed under: Gossypium barbadense (sea-island cotton)
Lineage: Eukaryota; Viridiplantae; Streptophyta; Magnoliopsida; Malvales; Malvaceae
Also listed under: 1 other name
Description: Plant small nucleolar RNA R71
Rfam family: Plant small nucleolar RNA R71
About the family: R71 is a member of the C/D box family of snoRNAs containing the C (UGAUGA) and D (CUGA) box motifs. Multiple nearly identical copies of this snoRNA have been identified in Arabidopsis, and it is thought to function as a 2'-O-ribose methylation guide for 18S ribosomal RNA.
Source: Rfam by way of RNAcentral